AAAUUAUAUUAUGUAAUAGUGCGGAUUCCAAAAAAUAAAAAAUAAAAAUUGUUGUGGACUAACUACGAACCGUCUUUAAAUUAAAUUUGCAGCGGAUUGUUGUUCGAUCUAAAAUUAGUAUGGACUGAACCGCUAACGGAUUAAUCUGCACUAACCACAACAUCCAUUCAAAGACUUAAUUAUUUACUAUCAUGUUAUAUUUGUGGGGCAUUAAUAAGUGAA
This 222-nucleotide small RNA is filed under the name Arabidopsis thaliana (thale cress). Its description in RNAcentral is "ATSL077510". The record is from RNAcentral. Lineage: Eukaryota; Viridiplantae; Streptophyta; Magnoliopsida; Brassicales; Brassicaceae.